This 497-nucleotide ribosomal RNA is filed under the name uncultured bacterium. RNAcentral describes it as "partial 16S ribosomal RNA". It matches the Rfam family "Bacterial small subunit ribosomal RNA", at positions 28 to 507 of the family's 1533-position model. The record is from RNAcentral.
GACGAACGCUGGCGGCGUGCCUAAUACAUGCAAGUAGAACGCUGAAGAGAGGAGCUUGCUCUUCUUGGAUGAGUUGCGAACGGGUGAGUAACGCGUAGGUAACCUGCCUUGUAGCGGGGGAUAACUAUUGGAAACGAUAGCUAAUACCGCAUAACAACGGAUGACACAUGUCAUUUAUUUGAAAGGGGCAAUUGCUCCACUACAAGAUGGACCUGCGUUGUAUUAGCUAGUAGGUGAGGUAAUGGCUCACCUAGGCGACGAUACAUAGCCGACCUGAGAGGGUGAUCGGCCACACUGGGACUGAGACACGGCCCAGACUCCUACGGGAGGCAGCAGUAGGGAAUCUUCGGCAAUGGGGGCAACCCUGACCGAGCAACGCCGCGUGAGUGAAGAAGGUUGUCGGAUCGUAAAGUUCUGUUGUAAGUCAAGAACGGGUGUGAGAGUGGAAAGUUCACACUGUGACGGUAGCUUACCAGAAAGGGACGGCUAACUACGUG